Molecule: small nuclear RNA, 156 nt
Filed under: Cervus hanglu yarkandensis (Yarkand deer)
Lineage: Eukaryota; Metazoa; Chordata; Mammalia; Artiodactyla; Cervidae
Description: U4 spliceosomal RNA (ENSCHYG00000004872.1)
Rfam family: U4 spliceosomal RNA (bases 1-69)
Source: RNAcentral
AGCUUUGCGCAGUGGCAGUAUUGUAGCCAAUGAGGUUUAUCCGAGGCGCGAUUAUUGCUAAUUGAAACAAGGGGACAUUUUAACUGAUGACACAGAAAUGUAAGGGCUUCCUGGAUAGCUCAUGUGGUAAGAAUCCUCUGCCUGCAACGCAGGAGG